CAGUAGCCGCGGGAAUACGGAGGGUGCAAGCGUUAAUCGGAAUUACUGGGCGUAAAGCGCACGCAGGCGGUCUGUCAAGUCAGAUGUGAAAUCCCCGGGCUUAACCUGGGAACUGCAUUUGAAACUGGCAGGCUAGAGUCUUGUAGAGGGGGGUAGAAUUCCAGGUGUAGCGGUGAAAUGCGUAGAGAUCUGGAGGAAUACCGGUGGCGAAGGCGGCCCCCUGGACAAAGACUGACGCUCAGGUGCGAAAGCGUGGGGAGCAAACAGGAUUAGAUACCCCUGUAGUCCCUGUCCCUUAUAC
RNAcentral lists this ribosomal RNA (301 nucleotides) under uncultured bacterium. RNAcentral describes it as "partial 16S ribosomal RNA". It matches the Rfam family "Bacterial small subunit ribosomal RNA", at positions 509 to 807 of the family's 1533-position model. The record is from RNAcentral.